GAUGAACGCUGGCGGCGUGCCUAAUACAUGCGAGUCGAGCGAACGGACGAGAAGCUUGCUUCUCUGAUGUUAGCGGCGGACGGGUGAGUAACACGUGGAUAACCUACCUAUAAGACUGGGAUAACUUCGGGAAACCGGAGCUAAUACCGGAUAAUAUUUUGAACCGCAUGGUUCAAAAGUGAAAGACGGUCUUGCUGUCACUUAUAGAUGGAUCCGCGCUGCAUUAGCUAGUUGGUAAGGUAACGGCUUACCAAGGCAACGAUGCAUAGCCGACCUGAGAGGGUGAUCGGCCACACUGGAACUGAGGCACGGUCCAGACUCCUACGGGAGGCAGCAGUAGGGAAUCUUCCGCAAUGGGCGAAAGCCUGACGGAGCAACGCCGCGUGAGUGAUGAAGGUCUUCGGAUCGUAAAACUCUGUUAUUAGGGAAGAACAUAUGUGUAAGUAACUGUGCACAUCUUGACGGUACCUAAUCAGAAAGCCACGGCUAACUACGUG
RNAcentral lists this ribosomal RNA (497 nucleotides) under uncultured bacterium. RNAcentral describes it as "partial 16S ribosomal RNA". It matches the Rfam family "Bacterial small subunit ribosomal RNA", at positions 28 to 507 of the family's 1533-position model. The record is from RNAcentral.